This 1250-nucleotide ribosomal RNA is filed under the name metagenome. RNAcentral describes it as "bacterial LSU rRNA". It matches the Rfam family "Bacterial large subunit ribosomal RNA", at positions 1636 to 2876 of the family's 2925-position model. The record is from RNAcentral.
UCACGACCGUACCGCAAACCGACACUAUGCGCGAGAUGAGUAUUCUAAGGCGCUUGAGAGAACUCAGGAGAAGGAACUCGGCAAAUUGACACCGUAACUUCGGAAGAAGGUGUGCCUUUAGUAGGUGAACCAUUUACUUGGGGAGCCCAAUGAGGCUGCAAAAAAUCGGUGGCUGCAACUGUUUAUUAAAAACACAGCACUCUGCUAAGACGAAAGUCGACGUAUAGGGUGUGACGCCUGCCCGGUGCUGGAAGAUUAAAUGAUGGGGUGCAAGCUCUUGAUUGAAGUCCCAGUAAACGGCGGCCGUAACGAUAACGGUCCUAAGGUAGCGAAAUUCCUUGUCGGGUAAGUUCCGACCUGCACGAAUGGCGUAAUGAUGGCCACACUGUCUCCUCCUGAGACUCAGCGAAGUUGAAAUGUUUGUGAUGAUGCAAUCUCCCCGCGGAAAGACGGAAAGACCCCAUGAACCUUUACUGUAGCUUUGUAUUGGACUUUGAACAGAUCUGUGCAGGAUAGGUGGGAGGCUUUGAAGUGUGGUCGCUAGAUCGCAUGGAGCCAACGUUGAAAUACCACCCUGGCGUGUUUGAGGUUCUAACCUAGGUCCAUUAUCUGGAUCGGGGACAGUGCAUGGUAGGCAGUUUGACUGGGGCGGUCUCCUCCCAAAGUGUAACGGAGGAGUUCGAAGGUACGCUAGGUACGGUCGGACAUCGUGCUAAUAGUGCAAUGGCAUAAGCGUGCUUAACUGCGAGACUGACAAGUCGAGCAGAUGCGAAAGCAGGACAUAGUGAUCCGGUGGUUCUGUAUGGAAGGGCCAUCGCUCAACGGAUAAAAGGUACUCUGGGGAUAACAGGCUGAUACCGCCCAAGAGUUCAUAUCGACGGCGGUGUUUGGCACCUCGAUGUCGGCUCAUCUCAUCCUGGGGCUGUAGCCGGUCCCAAGGGUAUGGCUGUUCGCCAUUUAAAGAGGUACGUGAGCUGGGUUUAAAACGUCGUGAGACAGUUUGGUCCCUAUCUUCCGUGGGCGCUGCAGAUUUGAGGAAGCCUGCUCCUAGUACGAGAGGACCGGAGUGGACGAACCUCUGGUGUAUCGGUUGUCACGCCAGUGGCAUUGCCGAGUAGCUAAGUUCGGAAGAGAUAACCGCUGAAAGCAUCUAAGCGGGAAACUCGUUUCAAGAUUAGAUCUGCCGGGGCCUUGAGCCCCCUAAAGAGUCGUUCAAGACCAGGACGUUGAUAGGUCAGGUGUGGAAGCCA